AACGAACGCUGGCGGCAGGCUUAACACAUGCAAGUCGAACGCUCCGCAAGGAGAGUGGCAGACGGGUGAGUAACACGUGGGAACGUACCCUUUACUACGGAACAACUCCGGGAAACUGGAGCUAAUACCGUAUGUGCCCUUUGGGGGAAAGAUUUAUCGGUAAAGGAUCGGCCCGCGUUGGAUUAGCUAGUUGGUGGGGUAAGGGCCUAUCAAGGCGACGAUCCAUAGCUGGUCUGAGAGGAUGAUCAGCCACAUUGGGACUGAGACACGGCCCAAACUCCUACGGGAGGCAGCAGUGGGGAAUAUUGGACAAUGGGCGCAAGCCUGAUCCAGCCAUGCCGCGUGUGUGAUGAAGGCCUUAGGGUUGUAAAGCACUUUCACCGGAGAAGAUAAUGACGGUAUCCGGAGAAGAAGCCCCGGCUAACUUCGUGCCAGCCGCCGCAGUAA
This 447-nucleotide ribosomal RNA is filed under the name uncultured bacterium. Its description in RNAcentral is "partial 16S ribosomal RNA". It matches the Rfam family "Bacterial small subunit ribosomal RNA", at positions 29 to 523 of the family's 1533-position model. The record is from RNAcentral.